Long non-coding RNA from Gossypium raimondii (Peruvian cotton), 366 nucleotides. RefSeq lists it as uncharacterized. The transcript is spliced from 2 exons. The record is from RefSeq and is a predicted model, not a curated record. NCBI's taxonomy places the organism in Eukaryota, Viridiplantae, Streptophyta, Magnoliopsida, Malvales, Malvaceae.
AUUUCAUCUUCUUUUUCUUUUUUAGAAUCAGCUGAGGGGGGAAAAAAGAGGUGGCUCUCUGCUAGGGUUCGACCCUAGCCCCUUCAUGCCACCGCCGCCUAGAGCCGCCGCGCACGGCGCUCGAAACCAGUGCCCGAACCCAGGUACGUGGAAACGGCGCUAUGCGAAGCUACUGGUCGUGGGUGAAGCGACGUGGGCAGUUGCUGUGCGUUCGUGCGCUCGGAGGGCUGAACAUGGGCGAUGUGGAGGCUGCCGAACGUGGGGCAUGUGGCCCUGUAAUUGUGUUUAACUUGGCCCAAGUUUUUUUGGGUUCAAUUGUAUUUAAUUUGGGCUGUGUAAAUGAUUUUGGGUUGGUCUUAUUUUGAA